RNAcentral lists this ribosomal RNA (253 nucleotides) under uncultured bacterium. RNAcentral describes it as "partial 16S ribosomal RNA". It matches the Rfam family "Bacterial small subunit ribosomal RNA", at positions 524 to 776 of the family's 1533-position model. The record is from RNAcentral.
UACGAAGGGGGCUAGCGUUGCUCGGAAUCACUGGGCGUAAAGGGUGCGUAGGCGGGUUCUUAAGUCAGAGGUGAAAUCCUGGAGCUCAACUCCAGAACUGCCUUUGAUACUGAGAGUCUUGAGUAUGACAGAGGUGAGUGGAACUGCGAGUGUAGAGGUGAAAUUCGUAGAUAUUCGCAAGAACACCAGUGGCGAAGGCGGCUCACUGGCCCGAUACUGACGCUGAGGCACGAAAGCGUGGGGAGCAAACAGG